RNAcentral lists this non-coding RNA (31 nucleotides) under Rattus norvegicus (Norway rat). Lineage: Eukaryota; Metazoa; Chordata; Mammalia; Rodentia; Muridae. The record is from RNAcentral.
UGCAUUUGUGCAUCUAUUGGUUUGGAUCCCU